Molecule: unclassified non-coding RNA, 360 nt
Filed under: Hevea brasiliensis (rubber tree)
Lineage: Eukaryota; Viridiplantae; Streptophyta; Magnoliopsida; Malpighiales; Euphorbiaceae
Source: RNAcentral
UUGGCCAGACGGUAAAAGGCAUCACGAAAACACAUUCGAGUCUUAUCUGUCAACUGUGCCAUCACCAUUGCUAGCUCCUGUAAAACAGUUUCUUCAAGAGAUGUUUCCUCAUCCACAUGUUCAUUCAAACCUUUAUGCUCAGAAGGGGCCAAGACUUUUAUCAGUGAUGCCUUUAACAAUGGGCAAUUCUUUUGCUCUGAAUUGGAUGGAAUAAACGGCGGAGAAGCAGAAACUUUGCCUUCCUCUGGAUCCAAUUGAUGGAGAAAAUGCAUGUGUUUUGAGAUACUUAGAGCUUCCCAUGCUAUAUGCGUCACUGGAAAUUCUUAGUGCAUCUAAAAUUGAGUAUGUCGAGAUAUUAUC